UCGAGAAUUUUUCUCAAUGGGGGAAACCCUGAAGGAGCGACGCCGCGUGGAGGAUGAAGGCUUUCGGGUUGUAAACUCCUGUCAUUUGGGAACAAGUGCCAACAAGUAACUACUGUUGGCUUGAUAGUACCAGAAGAGGAAGAGACGGCUAACUCUGUGCCAGCAGCCGCGGUAAUACAGAGGUCUCAAGCGUUGUUCGGAUUCAUUGGGCGUAAAGGGUGCGUAGGUGGCGCCGUAAGUCAGGUGUGAAAUUUCGGAGCUUAACUCCGAAACUGCAUUUGAUACUGCGGUGCUUGAGGACUGGAGAGGAGACUGGAAUUCACGGUGUAGCAGUGAAAUGCGUAGAUAUCGUGAGGAAGACCAGUGGCGAAGGCGGGUCUCUGGACAGUUCCUGACACUGAGGCACGAAGGCCAGGGGAGCAAACGG
This 427-nucleotide ribosomal RNA is filed under the name uncultured bacterium. Its description in RNAcentral is "bacterial SSU rRNA". It matches the Rfam family "Bacterial small subunit ribosomal RNA", at positions 355 to 775 of the family's 1533-position model. The record is from RNAcentral.